This is a long non-coding RNA of Sinocyclocheilus anshuiensis, 1372 nucleotides long. Ensembl annotates it as AF4/FMR2 family member 1-like. NCBI's taxonomy places the organism in Eukaryota, Metazoa, Chordata, Actinopteri, Cypriniformes, Cyprinidae. The record is from Ensembl.
GGGUGUGUGCUUUACUGCAUGAUAUCCGGACGAAUAAUUAUACGAAUUCAUGUUUAAUUAUUAAAAUUCUUAAUAAAGUCGUGAACAAAAGGAGCCUGUUGUUCAAUAUAAAGUCAAACCGUGUGUGCUUGACCCACUGAUCUGAAGCAUGUAGCAGCGGGUGACCCCCGCUCAGGAGUGGACUCGUCCGCGGAGCGCCGUUCUGCUCGCUUCAGGCAAACUGCGGUUUCUGGAAAUCAGCGGAUUUUCUAGAUUUGAAGAAAUGUGAUAAAUCAGCGGAUCGUGUCGUCAUGAGCGACCGACAAGCGACGCCUCACAGCGGGCAGUGCAGACCGAGAAUGAGCAGUGUACAGAUGGAGGAUCGCAACAUGUUGCGUCUGAUGGAGAGGGAGAGACGCAGUCAGGAGGUGCAGCUGGAGGAGACGCAGUAUGACAGAAUCGCUCCUCUCUUCAACAAGCCGUAUAAGAGAAUCAAAGAUGACGAGCUGUCGAGUCGCAUCCAGACGAUGCUGGGUAAUUAUGAGGAUGGAUAUGAUGGACCUGAGGACGCUGCGCUUCCUUACGAGCGCUCCACGCAGUUCCCUCAGGCGCAGUCAGGACACACGGAUCGCUCCAGAGCCGCCUCCGGCCCUGCUUCAGGAGAGAGCUGGGACAGUUUCCCAGCCCUGUCUCCUCUGCGGUCCAGCGACUCGGACACCGGCCCGUCUCCGGAGCGGCCUCCGCUGAACCUGCACAGUAAACUGGCGAAGGCCAAGAAACCCACAGCGUACGUGAGGCCGAUGGACGGUCCGGAUCAGGUGACCAGCGACUCUCCUGAACUGAAGGCCUCACUGGAGUCGUAUGAGCACUUACAGGACCUGAAGGAGAGCAGCAAACCAAACCUUGCCCCUCUGCAGGCUGCUGAUAUAGUGUCUGGAGCGCGUGUGGAGGACAUUCUGCAGGAAAUGACCUCAUGGCCUCCACUGCUGACGACCAUUUGCUCGCCAACCACAGCCGAGCCGCCCAAGGUCCUCUCCACUAACGAGGAGACACAUGGAUUACCGGCCCUCGGUAAGUGUGUGUGUGUGUGUGUAUGUUGUUGAAGUCUGUUUAUGUGCUUUUUAAGUUGUUGUGUUGUUCUUUACUAGAAGCUCAUGAAUCAUCAGACAAAGUUCAGCUGGAAUCUCAGUGAGUAUCAGAUCAGAUCUUUGUCUUGAGCUCAUGUGAAGGUGCUACAAAAAGGUCAAGAUGAAGAUUUCUCCCCUCUCUCUUCAGCUACUGUUUUAACUUUACUCUGUGUGUGUGUGUGUGUGUGUGUGUGUGUGUGUGUGCGCGCGCGCGCGUGCACCUGUGUGUGUGUGCACCUGUGUGUGUGUGCACCUGUGUGUGUGUG